This 402-nucleotide ribosomal RNA is filed under the name uncultured Alphaproteobacteria bacterium. RNAcentral describes it as "bacterial SSU rRNA". It matches the Rfam family "Bacterial small subunit ribosomal RNA", at positions 9 to 427 of the family's 1533-position model. The record is from RNAcentral. Lineage: Bacteria; Pseudomonadati; Pseudomonadota; Alphaproteobacteria.
GAGUUUGAUCAUGGCUCAGAACGAACGCUGGCGGCAGGCCUAACACAUGCAAGUCGAACGAGCUGGGACCUUCGGGUCCCGAUGCUAGUGGCGCACGGGUGAGUAACACGUGGGAAUCUACCCAAUAGUACGGAAUAACUGAGGGAAACUUUGGCUAAUACCGUAUACGCCCUUCGGGGAAGGAUUUAUCGCUAUUGGAUGAGCCCGCGUCUGAUUAGGUAGUUGGUGAGGUAACGGCUCACCAAGCCGACGAUCAGUAGCUGGUCUGAGAGGAUGAUCAGCCACACUGGGACUGAGACACGGCCCAGACUCCUACGGGAGGGCAGCAGUGGGGAAUAUUGGACAAUGGGCGCAAGCCUGAUCCAGCCAUGCCGCGUGAGUGAAGAAGGCCUUCGGGUUGUU